UAAAUUCUAAAUUGUUAUUUCAGUUAUUUAGCUUUGUUAGAAAAUAUAAGGGUUUAGUGGGUGCUCGGUGGAAUAAUAUAAUCUAAGGGGUAAAAAACUUGGUAGCACCAAGUGCUUGGUGUUAUUGAUAGUAUUAUAGCUAUAAAAGUGGGCUGGAAUACUAUUAAUAGUAUUUGGGCUCUUUUGCUAUCGUAUUUUUAUUUUUUGGAUGAAAAUUGUACGGUUAUGAUGAUAGUGGUCCCUUAGAGUUUAGUAGUGGUUCCUCUAUAGGGUUGUUUGGGUGGUUGUUUGAAUAGUAUUAUCUAAAGGAUGGAAUUAAGAUCUGACAGUUAAAAAAUCGAUAGCAAAAGAACUUAAAUACUAUUAAUAGUAUUCCAACUCAACUCUCUCUCUCUCUCUUUAUAUAUAGAGAGAGAGAGAGAGAGAGAGUAGGUCUUGUGUGCUAUUAGGAGCAUAGAAGCCUUCGUGCUUCUAAACCGUUUUCGAUAAUAUAGUUCAUAAAUCGACGAUUAGAUCCAUCAUACCUGAUCUAGCGUAUUUGAACUAUUUAGAAAAUAAUUUUUGCAGAUUUUCGAUAUCAUUAAUCUAGUGAUCAAAAGAAUUCAAAAUCAAUGAUUUUUAAUGGUUGAUGUAUGCCGUUUGCAAGUUUAACCGUGCAGAAGUAUUCAAAUCAGAUAAAAUUUUGAUAGAAAAUUUUUUAACUAUCUACAACAAGAUCAAUAUUUUUGAUCGAACAUUUUAGUACUACAUCAUAAUUUUUUAUGAGAUUUUUAUUUUCAACCAUUGAUUUUGAGUCAUUUCGAUUAUCAAGUAAAUGAUAUAAAAAAAAUUAUAAAAUUUAUUUUCUAAAUAGUUCAAAUAUAUUAAAUCAAAUCUGACAGAAUCGAUCGUCAAUUCAAAAAAUCAACUCAGCACAGACA
Molecule: long non-coding RNA, 920 nt
Filed under: Ananas comosus (pineapple)
Lineage: Eukaryota; Viridiplantae; Streptophyta; Magnoliopsida; Poales; Bromeliaceae
Description: long non-coding RNA (ACOM_LNC001245)
Source: RNAcentral